UCCCUGGUGGCUCAGAUGGUAAAGCGUCUGCCUACAAUGCGGGAGACCCGGGUUCAAUCCCUGGAUCGGGAA
This 72-nucleotide transfer RNA is filed under the name Bos taurus (domestic cattle). It matches the Rfam family "tRNA". Rfam says of the family: Transfer RNA (tRNA) molecules are approximately 80 nucleotides in length. Their secondary structure includes four short double-helical elements and three loops (D, anti-codon, and T loops). Further hydrogen bonds mediate the characteristic L-shaped molecular structure. tRNAs have two regions of fundamental functional importance: the anti-codon, which is responsible for specific mRNA codon recognition, and the 3' end, to which the tRNAs corresponding amino acid is attached (by aminoacyl-tRNA synthetases). tRNAs cope with the degeneracy of the genetic code in two manners: having more than one tRNA (with a specific anti-codon) for a particular amino acid; and 'wobble' base-pairing, i.e. permitting non-standard base-pairing at the 3rd anti-codon position. The record is from Rfam by way of RNAcentral. RNAcentral also lists the same sequence under 1 other name. Lineage: Eukaryota; Metazoa; Chordata; Mammalia; Artiodactyla; Bovidae.